UGUGGGAGCGGGCUUGCUCGCGAUGCAGACAACGCGGUUUGCCUGUCAAACCGCGUCGCUAACAUCGCGAGCAAGCCCGCUCCCACA
RNAcentral lists this unclassified non-coding RNA (87 nucleotides) under Pseudomonas psychrophila. Lineage: Bacteria; Pseudomonadati; Pseudomonadota; Gammaproteobacteria; Pseudomonadales; Pseudomonadaceae. The record is from RNAcentral.